RNAcentral lists this ribosomal RNA (662 nucleotides) under Salmonella enterica subsp. enterica serovar Typhimurium. RNAcentral's name for it is "partial 23S ribosomal RNA". It matches the Rfam family "Bacterial large subunit ribosomal RNA", at positions 744 to 1318 of the family's 2925-position model. Lineage: Bacteria; Pseudomonadati; Pseudomonadota; Gammaproteobacteria; Enterobacterales; Enterobacteriaceae. The record is from RNAcentral.
GUUGAAGGUUGGGUAACACUAACUGGAGGACCGAACCGACUAAUGUUGAAAAAUUAGCGGAUGACCUGUGGCUGGGGGUGAAAGGCCAAUCAAACCGGGAGAUAGCUGGUUCUCCCCGAAAGCUAUUUAGGUAGCGCCUCGUGAAUUCAUCUCCGGGGGUAGAGCACUGUUUCGGCUAGGGGGCCAUCCCGGCUUACCAACCCGAUGCAAACUGCGAAUACCGGAGAAUGUUAUCACGGGAGACACACGGCGGGUGCUAACGUCCGUCGUGAAGAGGGAAACAACCCAGACCGCCAGCUAAGGUCCCAAAGUCAUGGUUAAGUGGGAAACGAUGUGGGAAGGCCCAGACAGCCAGGAUGUUGGCUUAGAAGCAGCCAUCAUUUAAAGAAAGCGUAAUAGCUCACUGGUCGAGUCGGCCUGCGCGGAAGAUGUAACGGGGCUAAACCAUGCACCGAAGCUGCGGCAGCGAACGUAUCACCCAAGACAACUUUACGGAGUUGACGAUUGACGGAGCGAAGCGACGUCAAAGCGUUCAUUAAAGUCGAGUUGGCUUAGGGAUACGUUCGUUGGGUAGGGGAGCGUUCUGUAAGCCUGUGAAGGUGUGUCGUGAGGCAUGCUGGAGGUAUCAGAAGUGCGAAUGCUGACAUAAGUAACGAUAAAGC